Molecule: non-coding RNA, 135 nt
Organism: Triticum aestivum (bread wheat)
Lineage: Eukaryota; Viridiplantae; Streptophyta; Magnoliopsida; Poales; Poaceae
Source: Rfam
CUAGUACUCCCUCCGUCCCAAAAUUCUUGUCUUAAAUUUUUCUAAAUGCGAAUGUAUCAAGUCACGUUUUAGUAUUAGAUACAUCCGUAUCUAGACGAAUCUAAGACAAGAAUUUUGGGACGGAGGGAGUAAUAU